AUGAAGAAUGGAGACGGCAAAUUAACCCUUCAAAACAUUGAAAAGCUUCAAAGGGGUACAAUAAGCAUUCCAAAUAUUACUGGUAAAAGUGCAGAAAUAAAUAGUAGCAAACACUAUCUAGAUAAAACUGGAAGAAAGCAAGAAACAUCUGCAGAAGGGAAACCACACAACUCCUUGAUUGCUUCCCAUGUUAUUGAUUUGCUUUUAGAGAAAGCUGAUUGAAUAAUCGGCAAUGAUUUGAAGUUUGGUUGAUAUGUGAUGUGGCACAUAGCUUCAAUAAAAAUAUAUAUUGUGUUU
This is a long non-coding RNA of Spea bombifrons (plains spadefoot toad), 297 nucleotides long. RefSeq lists it as uncharacterized. The record is from RefSeq and is a predicted model, not a curated record. Lineage: Eukaryota; Metazoa; Chordata; Amphibia; Anura; Pelobatidae. The transcript has 2 exons.